ACUCUAGAGAUAGAGCCUUCCCCUUCGGGGGACAAAGUGACAGGUGGUGCAUGGUUGUCGUCAGCUCGUGUCGUGAGAUGUUGGGUUAAGUCCCGCAACGAGCGCAACCCUUAAGCUUAGUUGCCAUCAUUAAGUUGGGCACUCUAAGUUGACUGCCGGUGACAAACCGGAGGAAGGUGGGGAUGACGUCAAAUCAUCAUGCCCCUUAUGAUUUGGGCUACACACGUGCUACAAUGGACAAUACAAAGGGCAGCGAAACCGCGAGGUCAAGCAAAUCCCAUAAAGUUGUUCUCAGUUCGGAUUGUAGUCUGCAACUCGACUACAUGAAGCUGGAAUCGCUAGUAAUCGUAGAUCAGCAUGCUACGGUGAAUACGUUCCCGGGUCUUGUACACACCGCCCGUCACACCA
This 408-nucleotide ribosomal RNA is filed under the name Staphylococcus aureus. Its description in RNAcentral is "bacterial SSU rRNA". It matches the Rfam family "Bacterial small subunit ribosomal RNA", at positions 997 to 1404 of the family's 1533-position model. The record is from RNAcentral. Lineage: Bacteria; Bacillati; Bacillota; Bacilli; Caryophanales; Staphylococcaceae.